This 443-nucleotide ribosomal RNA is filed under the name uncultured bacterium. Its description in RNAcentral is "partial 16S ribosomal RNA". It matches the Rfam family "Bacterial small subunit ribosomal RNA", at positions 338 to 795 of the family's 1533-position model. The record is from RNAcentral.
CCUACGGGAGGCAGCAGUGGGGAAUAUUGGGCAAUGGGCGCAAGCCUGACCCAGCAACGCCGCGUGAAGGAAGAAGGCUUUCGGGUUGUAAACUUCUUUUCUGAGGGACGAAGAAAGUGACGGUACCUCAGGAAUAAGCCACGGCUAACUACGUGCCAGCCGCCGCGGUAAGACGUAGGGGGAAAGCGUUAUCCGGUUUUAUUGGGUGUAAAGGGCGUGUAGGCGGGAAAGCAAGUCAGAUGUGAAAACUCAGGGCUCAACCCUGAGCCUGCAUUUGAAACUGUUUUGCUUGAGGGCUGGAGAGGUAAGUGGAAUUCCUAGUGUAGCGGUGAAAUGCGUAGAUAUUAGGAGGAACACCAGUGGCGAAGGCGGCUUACUGGACUGUAACUGACGUUGAGGCUCGAAAGCGUGGGGAGCAAACAGGAUUAGAUACCCCUGUAGUC